RNAcentral lists this ribosomal RNA (402 nucleotides) under Flamella arnhemensis. RNAcentral describes it as "partial small subunit ribosomal RNA". It matches the Rfam family "Eukaryotic small subunit ribosomal RNA", at positions 30 to 432 of the family's 1831-position model. Lineage: Eukaryota; Evosea; Variosea; Flamellidae. The record is from RNAcentral.
GCUUGUCUCAAAGAUUAAGCCAUGCAUGUCUAAGUUUAAGUAAUUUAACGGCGAAACUGCGAAUGGCUCAUUAAAUCAGUUAUAAUUUACUUGGUUGAUCCUACUCUUACUCGGAUAACUGUAGUAAUUCUAGAGCUAAUACGUGCAACGAAGCCCCAACUUUUCGGAAGGGGUGCACUUGUUAGGUACCAAACCAGCCGGGCAACCGAGUUCUGGUGAUUCUAGACAAGUAGGCGGAGCGUGUGACCUUGUGUCGACGCCGAAUCAAUCAAGUUUCUGCCCUAUCAACUUUGGAUUGUAGUGUAUUGGACUACAAUGGUGAUAACGGGUGACGGGGAAUUAGGGUUCGAUUCCGGAGAGGGAGCCUGAGAGAUGGCUACCACUUCCAAGGAAGGCAGCAGG